UAUAAUAUCAGUGUUAGGGCACGCAGAUUUUUGACAUCUGAAGAAUGAAAUCAUUUUCAUAAUUAUAA
RNAcentral lists this transfer RNA (68 nucleotides) under Enchytraeus irregularis. RNAcentral describes it as "tRNA-Gln". Lineage: Eukaryota; Metazoa; Annelida; Clitellata; Enchytraeida; Enchytraeidae. The record is from RNAcentral.